RNAcentral lists this long non-coding RNA (299 nucleotides) under Phoenix dactylifera (date palm). RNAcentral describes it as "long non-coding RNA (PDAC_LNC019237)". Lineage: Eukaryota; Viridiplantae; Streptophyta; Magnoliopsida; Arecales; Arecaceae. The record is from RNAcentral.
CAUAGUAAUAAUUCUUUACUUCGCGCAAGAAAAUUUUUCUAUCUGUCGACCCCCAAUGCUCCGGCAUCCGGCUUGUAACAAGAAAAUUUACAAUAUCUGCAUACCAUGGUAUACUAGAAAGUGCAAACAACUGCUCUUCAGAGAAUGAGUCCUUGAUGGAAAACUGUGGCACUGAAUCAUGAAAAACUAAUCGUGAUAAAUGGUCAGCAACCACAUUCUCUACUCCUUUUUUAUCUUUGAUAGUGAUGUUAAAUUCUUGGAGUAGAAGUAUCCAUCGUAUUAAGCGUGGUUUGGCCUCU